GACGAACGCUGGCGGCGUGCCUAAUACAUGCAAGUUGAGCGCUGAAGGUUGGUACUUGUGCCAACUGGAUGAGCAGCGAACGGGUGAGUAACGCGUGGGGAAUCUGCCUUUGAGCGGGGGACAACAUUUGGAAACGAAUGCUAAUACCGCAUAAAAACUUUAAACACAAGUUUUAAGUUUGAAAGAUGCAAUUGCAUCACUCAAAGAUGAUCUCGCGUUGUAUUAGAUAGUUGGUGAGGUAAAGGCUCACCAAGGCGAGGAUACAUAGCCGACCUGAGAGGGUGAUCGGCCGCCUUGGGACUGAGACACGGCCCAAACUCCUACGGGAGGCAGCAGUAGGGAAUCUUCGGGAAUGGACGAAAGUCUGACCGAGCAACGCCGCGUGAGUGAAGAAGGUUUUCGGAUCGUAAAACUCUGUUGGUAGAGAAGAACGUUGGUGAGAGUGGAACGCUCAUCAAGUGACGGUAACUACCCAGAAAGGGACGGCUAACUACGUG
This 497-nucleotide ribosomal RNA is filed under the name uncultured bacterium. RNAcentral describes it as "partial 16S ribosomal RNA". It matches the Rfam family "Bacterial small subunit ribosomal RNA", at positions 28 to 507 of the family's 1533-position model. The record is from RNAcentral.